Molecule: ribosomal RNA, 212 nt
Filed under: uncultured bacterium
Lineage: Bacteria
Description: partial 16S ribosomal RNA
Rfam family: Bacterial small subunit ribosomal RNA
Source: RNAcentral
UACGUAGGGGUGCAAGUCGUUGUCCGGAAUUAUUUGGGGCGUAAAGAGCUUGUAGGGCGGUUUGUCGCGUCUGCUGUGAAAUUUCGGGGGCUCACCCCCGAACUUUGCAGUGGGGGUACGGGGGCAGGACUAGAGUGUGGUAGGGGGAGACUGGGAAUUCCUGGUGUAGCGGUGAAAAUUGCGGCAGGAUAUCAGGGAGGGAACACCGAUGG